Molecule: long non-coding RNA, 595 nt
Organism: Ziziphus jujuba (common jujube)
Lineage: Eukaryota; Viridiplantae; Streptophyta; Magnoliopsida; Rosales; Rhamnaceae
Exons: 3
Source: RefSeq, a predicted model, not a curated record
CUCCUUUUUUUUUUUUUUUUUGGAGGCAAAAUCCAUGAAUAAAUAAAAAUGAAAUAAAAAUAAAUGAAUAUUCAUCUCUAGUCUCGUUCAUCUCUCUUUUUUCCCUUUUCUUUUCCUUUUUUUUUUUUUUUAGGCAAAAUCCACCACAACCGAAUCAGCAUCUCCCAAAGGUCGAAGCUAAGCAAAUCACCUCCAGGUUCUCUUUGAAUUUUUCCUUUGGAUUUCUCUGUGAAUUUUUAUUUCAAUUUCUGUUUCUUUUUUUUUCUGGAGGUGCUGCCGCUCUGGUGGUGUUCAGGUUGCUUUUGCCGAUAUGCAAGUUGCCUUUGCCUCUCACUGAACGCACAUGUGCCGGCUCUUCCUCCUCCUCCUCCUCUUGUGCUAGAGAUUCAGGAGGCAAAAGAAAAGCCGGAUGGAAAGAAUGCUGACUACGAGGCCGUGAUGAGUUCUAAACUUUCAAUUGCCAAGAAAGUUUUUCACAAGAGAAGGAUAUGAUACUUAACUCCAAGUUGUUUAGGAAUUUUUUUUUUUUUUUUUCUGAAAGUGAUGUCUUUUGUUUCAUUUCCUUUAUUGUGAUGAUAUGAUAUGACAAGAUUUU